This 450-nucleotide ribosomal RNA is filed under the name uncultured bacterium. RNAcentral describes it as "bacterial SSU rRNA". It matches the Rfam family "Bacterial small subunit ribosomal RNA", at positions 186 to 656 of the family's 1533-position model. The record is from RNAcentral.
ACAUAAGUAAGCAAGGGAAACAUUUAUGGCUUUGGGAUGAGACUGUACGGUAUCAGCUUGUUGGUGAGGUAAUGGCUCACCAAGGCAAUGACGCCUAACUGGUUUGAGAGGAUGAUCAGUCACACUGGAACUGAGACACGGUCCAGACUCCUACGGGAGGCAGCAGUGGGGAAUAUUGCACAAUGGAGGAAACUCUGAUGCAGCAACGCCGCGUGGAGGAUGACACAUUUCGGUGCGUAAACUCCUUUUAUAUGAGAAGAUAAUGACGGUAUCAUAUGAAUAAGCACCGGCUAACUUCGUGCCAGCAGCCGCGGUAAUACGAGGGGUGCAAGCGUUACUCGGAAUCACUGGGCGUAAAGAGCAUGUAGGCGGGUAGAAAAGUCAGAAGUGAAAUCCUAUAGCUCAACUAUAGAACUGCUUCUGAAACUCUUUACCUAGAGUAUGGGAGAG